RNAcentral lists this ribosomal RNA (783 nucleotides) under Trichoderma koningiopsis. Its description in RNAcentral is "SSU rRNA". It matches the Rfam family "Eukaryotic small subunit ribosomal RNA", at positions 85 to 877 of the family's 1831-position model. Lineage: Eukaryota; Fungi; Ascomycota; Sordariomycetes; Hypocreales; Hypocreaceae. The record is from RNAcentral.
AACUGCGAAUGGCUCAUUAUAUAAGUUAUCGUUUAUUUGAUAAUACUUUACUACUUGGAUAACCGUGGUAAUUCUAGAGCUAAUACAUGCUAAAAAUCCCGACUUCGGAAGGGUUGUAUUUAUUAGAUUAAAAACCAAUGCCCCUCGGGGCUCUCUGGUGAAUCAUAAUAACUAGUCGAAUCGACAGGCCUUGUGCCGGCGAUGGCUCAUUCAAAUUUCUUCCCUAUCAACUUUCGAUGUUUGGGUCUUGUCCAAACAUGGUGGCAACGGGUAACGGAGGGUUAGGGCUCGACCCCGGAGAAGGAGCCUGAGAAACGGCUACUACAUCCAAGGAAGGCAGCAGGCGCGCAAAUUACCCAAUCCCGACACGGGGAGGUAGUGACAAUAAAUACUGAUACAGGGCUCUUUUGGGUCUUGUAAUCGGAAUGAGUACAAUUUAAAUCCCUUAACGAGGAACAAUUGGAGGGCAAGUCUGGUGCCAGCAGCCGCGGUAAUUCCAGCUCCAAUAGCGUAUAUUAAAGUUGUUGUGGUUAAAAAGCUCGUAGUUGAACCUUGGGCCUGGCUGGCCGGUCCGCCUCACCGCGUGCACUGGUCCGGCCGGGCCUUUCCCUCUGCGGAACCCCAUGCCCUUCACUGGGUGUGGCGGGGAAACAGGACAUUUACUGUGAAAAAAUUAGAGUGCUCAAGGCAGGCCUAUGCUCGAAUACAUUAGCAUGGAAUAAUAGAAUAGGACGUGUGGUUCUAUUUUGUUGGUUUCUAGGACCGCCGUAAUGAUUAAUAGGG